UGUUUUUAAGACAAAUUAGAUGUUCUUUAAAUCCCAUACUUAUUCUAACAUACAAAUCCCUAACCAAACUAAAAGGACUUGAGCUAACACCACAUCUGAUGUAGUACCAACGAUGACUAAAUAAGCCUUAAUGCCAAUUACUAGUUGUGUAUUAUCAAUAUGAAGCACAACUACGUUUUUAUUCCUCGCUGUAGAUAUGCACAUAUGCAAAACAAAGAAGCACUCAGGCACACUCUUAAUGCACUAUUAACAUAAUAAAGUUGAGAUAUUCAAUAAACGUAUAUGAUCGCAAGUAUGGGUUAAGAAAACAUCUCAAGACGAAAUUCCGUAAGCAUCUCAAGGUCCAUAAUGCAAAGGCAGAGAAGAACAUUAUAAUUUCAUGCAUGUUCAGCUGCUUUAGAUUUCAUGCACCAGAAUCCAGAUAUAUUCCUAGAUUCGGGAAGAGUAAGAACAGAACAUAUACCAACAGACCAUGACAGGUACACAGCUCAUAUCUUCAUUGAAAUCUGGUUGUUGCCUUUCGAAAUAUUAAGCUUUAGUCAAUUAAUCACCCUAAAAGAACAACUACAAUAUUUAAAUGAAUAGGAUGUAACAAGGAGGCCACAAAAUAUAAAUAUCACUAGACUGCCCAUAUCCUAGAACCAAUCAACUUCGUGGAUCUAGUAUUUGGAUAGCGGGUAUAAAUGUGCCUGCAGUGUGUGCAGGCACACUAUAAAACACGUAGAUGCAUACAAUGACGGACCUAAACAGUCUGUGUUUAAGCACCCAUUGUUCUUGAGCCAACCACUAUUCUUUUUUUUUCCUUUCGUGUUGGUGGUGUGCAGACCAACUUGUGCUACCUCCUACCAGCCCAAGUACCAACCGCUACUUUUAUAUAUGAAACUAGUAUUAACAUACAAAUUGAUUGACUAAGCACCCUUCUGUGAUUAGUAGCAACACUAGAUUGAAAGCAGAUGAGCAUCCAUGACUAAAAAUUCCUGGCUCCGUGUAUGUAUACACAUAUAUAAACACACACUAAGUCCGCAUCCAUUGACUCUACACCUACUUAAAAUCCCGGAUCCAUCUCUACCUAUCAAUAAUUAAUUUCCCGCAUAAUUAUAAUUUCUCUCAUUAUAAUUAAAAAAGAAAAAAGAAAAACAUACCUAAAGGGUGUUCAAGUUUGAAAGAACUCUUGGCCAUUGCAAUACUCGAACUCUGAUCUCUUCCUGCAAAUUUCAUACAUCUAAAGAACAUCAGAUAGAAUUCACCUAAAAAAGCCUUUUUUUCACUCACCAAAAAAAUAAACACACAAUAUUUACAAACUUAAUAAACGCAAGUAAAAGCUGUAUUUGCGUGUAGAAAUCACCAAGAAAAAAAAAACAGCAAUUCACGCAAGAGGAUACCUUUCAAAUUUACCCAAAAAAGUAACAAAGCAAAUAAAUUCAAUCAAGAACUGAUGGUUAUGAGAGUAUUCAACAGAGAACAAAAUUAGGGUUUUUUUAUACGAACACGAAACGGAACUACUCAAAGUUGUUUAGAUUCACAAGGGAACUUAUUUUCCAACUACAAAUUUCUCUAAUUUUAUAUGUUACGGAUUGGGUUCGG
Molecule: long non-coding RNA, 1584 nt
Filed under: Nicotiana tabacum (common tobacco)
Lineage: Eukaryota; Viridiplantae; Streptophyta; Magnoliopsida; Solanales; Solanaceae
Description: long non-coding RNA (NTAB_LNC002829)
Source: RNAcentral